CCCUAACUAUCCCAUUUACUCCCAUUUAAUCUCCUCUUUGUUCUGACUUGUCAAGUUCUCAGUCUCUCCCUUACCCUAGGCGUUGUAGGACUAGCCGGCCUCCAACCAAGACAGGGGUGUAUGAUGUUCUCUCUUCAUACUUAUUAGUGAAGUCUAAUUCUCCGUUUACAUUCACUCUGUAGUAUUGUCGUCUAAUCGCUGAUUUGAUGGCAUUCAAAGAGAUUAUGUACCUCGGGAUGAGGCUUUCGAGGAAAUUAAGCAGAAUACUUUCUCCACUGGAAGAUUGAAAGCUCUGCUUCACAAUCUUAUACCAUCUCUUGCUGCUACAUUGUCAAGAGGUUCUUUCCGUUGGAGAAAGAUGGUUGAAAUACGAAAUCCCCGCUGUUAUAAAAAUGGAUAGAUUUGCUUGGUUGCGUGAUAAUGAAUUUGCACGCCAAACUUGGGGUCAAUUUAAGAGUCCUUAAGUUGGGUUCUAUUGCACAGAAAUUUCCGAUUCUCAGCAAACUAGAUCCUGCUGUUUAUGGUCCUCCCGAAUCUGCUAUCACGAAGGAAUUGUUAGAGCAAGAAAUCAAUGGGAUGAGUGCAGAUAAGGCAAUUGAGGAGAAGAGACUAUUUAUACUUAAUUAGUCCGGGAAAGUACGCCAUGGAGGUAAGCUCUGCAGCAUACAAGGAUAUGUGGAGGUUUGACAUGGAGGCAUUACCAGCUGAUCUUCUUCGAAGCUGAGUAAAUUGGCAUCUGGGAGAGAAUGUUGCUUGAAGAUGACCUUAGAGGCCGUCCACGGAGCAUUGUUCAGGUCAUUGUUUGAGGAUGUAAUAUAUGUAUCUAAACACUACUCUUUGGCACAUAUAUUUUCAAAACUUUCUACAACUUCAACAAUGUUUCAAACCCUGCAACAACGUGCGAGUACACCUGCUUGUUUACUCUAUCACAGGCCUGCAAUGCAUGUUUAAUCCUGCAGAUAACUCCUUGCUGCUAGAGCUUUUUCUGCAUCACAUAGGCUAG
Molecule: long non-coding RNA, 1003 nt
Organism: Pyrus x bretschneideri (Chinese white pear)
Lineage: Eukaryota; Viridiplantae; Streptophyta; Magnoliopsida; Rosales; Rosaceae
Exons: 4
Source: RefSeq, a predicted model, not a curated record